GUUUGCACUCAUCGGGGAAGGGUGAGAACCUUCAACUAAGGUUCGAUUCGAGCGAAAGCGAGAGAACGUUGCCACAGGCAACGGCCCAAAGGGUGAGGAGCGAAGCGACGAAUAAUCCUUCCCCCACCACCA
This 132-nucleotide small RNA is filed under the name Escherichia coli. RNAcentral describes it as "RtT sRNA". It matches the Rfam family "RtT RNA". From Rfam's summary of the family: This family represents a bacterial cis-regulatory element known as RtT RNA. The exact function of RtT is unknown although it is thought that it may be involved in changing the cellular response in relation to amino acid starvation. Lineage: Bacteria; Pseudomonadati; Pseudomonadota; Gammaproteobacteria; Enterobacterales; Enterobacteriaceae. The record is from RNAcentral.